GCCUAUGGCCAUAUCACCCUGUGUGUACCUGACCUUGCCUAUCUGAGAAGCUAAGCAGGAUGGGGCCUGGUUAGUACCUGGGUGGGUGAAAGCCAUGGUGCAAAGGCA
This 108-nucleotide ribosomal RNA is filed under the name Nannospalax galili (Upper Galilee mountains blind mole rat). Lineage: Eukaryota; Metazoa; Chordata; Mammalia; Rodentia; Spalacidae. The record is from RNAcentral.